UUGAAUAAAUUUGGCUAGGUUGUUGCUGGCUCCUUCGGAGUAUAUCGUUGUGCACGCCUGGUUCAUUUUUACAACUUCCCUGUGCAUCCUUGUGGAUUUGAAUAACUCUCGAGCAGAGGGUGGCAAUUUAUUUUGAAUGCGCUUUGCUCGGUGUAAUGAAGGAUUGCUGCGUUUGUGCACAACUGGCCAGCUUUUCUUUGAAUUUUCACAUCCAUGUUCUCUAUUUAUAUACUCMAAUUAUAUGAAGCAUAAAACUGGGCCUGUGUGCCUCUAAAAYUAMAUACAACUUUCAACAACGGAUCUCUUGGUUCUCGCAUCGAUGAAGAACGCAGCGAAAUGCGAUAAGUAAUGUGAAUUGCAGAAUUCAGUGAAUCAUCGAAUCUUUGAACGCACCUUGCGCUCCUUGGUAUUCCGAGGAGCAUGCCUGUUUGAGUGUCAUCAAAUUAUCAACUUUCCAGACUUUUGGUCUUGUACCGAAGCUUGGUACAGUUGGAAUUGUGGAAGGUGCAGGCUUAGGUUUUAUAAGUCGGCUCUUCUUAAAUACAUUAGCAAARCUCAUGCUAAUUCAUCAUUGGUAUAAUAGUUAUUUGUACUAUUGAGAAUUAGUUUCCGCGAGAUUGUGCUUCUAAUCGUCUAUCCCUUUAGACAAUAUCCAUGAAUU
RNAcentral lists this unclassified non-coding RNA (661 nucleotides) under Entoloma caccabus. Its description in RNAcentral is "sequence contains ITS1, 5.8S rRNA gene and ITS2". The stretch from base 285 to 438 matches the Rfam family "5.8S ribosomal RNA". Lineage: Eukaryota; Fungi; Basidiomycota; Agaricomycetes; Agaricales; Entolomataceae. The record is from RNAcentral.